RNAcentral lists this long non-coding RNA (2150 nucleotides) under Zea mays. RNAcentral describes it as "long non-coding RNA (ZMAY_LNC001788)". The record is from RNAcentral. Lineage: Eukaryota; Viridiplantae; Streptophyta; Magnoliopsida; Poales; Poaceae.
CUGCUAGCAAAGGAAAGUUAAACAUAACGACAUGAAUUGAAUUAACCAGUGCACACGACUAGGAAAAAACAAACAUCAUUUGUCAUCGAGUUUCUAAUUAAAUCAUAGCUGCAACUGGGCAUCGUUAUUAUAAUAGUGAAGGUGAACGUGAUGCUACUUCCCUCAUUCCCAACAUGAAUCAAGUACCUGCAUUGAGUAAUGCAAGAGUGAGAUGAUACAUCUCAGCAAGCAAAUUGUUUUGACGAGAUAUUUAAACCACAAAUUGAAUUAAACAACAUUUUAAAGGAAUCACAAUUGAGAUCAGAAAUACUUGUAGAUAUAGAACUCAAUAGUCCCAAUAUAACCAAUACCAUCUCAUUUCCUCGAACAACCACAAUAGGUUGUAUAACCCUUCCCUGCGUCAACAAUACCUGCAGAUAUCACUUCAAUGUAUGCAUAGGAAUGCAAUGUGUAGGUCAUCUGCCCUCAUACCUCUGAGAGUAUAAAACCACAUCAUCUGCUAAUAUCACUUCAACGAAUGCAUAUAAAUGCAAUGCAUAUGUCCUCUGCCUUCAUACCUCUAAGGGUAUGAAGCCGCAUCGUACCCCUCCUCGGGCAACGUACGAUGCUAAGUUGUACCGGUACGGUCGGACCAUAGGUCACGACCAAACUUCUGAUGCAAAUGAAUCAUGUAAUGCAUAUGGCAUGCUGCAUUUAUCAAUACACUUCACUUCCUUCAGAUACAAAACAAACCUCAAAUAAUACUUCAUCUGCCUUCAGAUACGAUACAAACCUCAAAUAAUACUUUAUCUGCCUUCACGGGUGUAAAUUAAUCUCAUGGGUCAUACUCGAACCAUAAUCAUCAUCAAUAUAUGAUUGAGCAUCAGUAUAAUACAAUCAAGUAAAGCAUCACCAUAGAGUUCAAUUAUGAAAGAAUUCCAUAAUUCUGAAUAUUAGAGUGUAGGCGAUAAAAAACAAGUCAAAACGGUAGAAACCACUACUACAUUCACUUGCCUUCAUCGAGGAAGAAAGAUGUACUAGGCAUGAUCCGGAGUGUAGCCACCUGCUAGCGGGCAUAAAACUUAGUACAAAUAUUUCACAAACAUUUGCCAACAAUCAACAAAUCGCUCCUACACUUGAAACCAAGACCCGGUGGAAAGACUCCCACCGUGAACCACAUGCCAAACAACAACAUCACUGUUUGUUAAUUUUGUAUCUUUAAAAUUAUAACAGUGGUGAUAUUAAACAAAUACUCUAGGAGUGUAUACACAAAAUACUCUACAACUUCAGUAUUCAAUGGAUAAUUAAAUUCUGCCAUCUAUAAGUUCUAAAACAUCUGAUAAGAUAAAUGUCUGAAUCUGUUUCAGACAGCAGCAUAGUUAACUUCAAAUAUCAAUAUCUACCAAACUACUCAACCAAAAAUUAUGAAAUUCUGCUGGCAGUAAGAACUUUUAUCCCUCUACAAAUGUCUCCAUAGUUGGAACAGCCAAUUCGGCUAUUUACUAUAUGAAACCCACCAGUGAACAGACCCGCUCAUUUUGUGAGGCAAACAGGAACAGCCACAGUAAAACAAACAUAACUGGAGUUUCAUAAUUCAUAUGAAUGCGCUCUUUAACAAUCUGGAAAUCUUAUAAAAUUGUCUACAACUUCUUUAACAAUCCUAAAGUUUAAUUCUGUAGAUAAAAUUGCCUAAAUCUUAAGAGAACAGAUUCUGCACAGAAUUAUGAGACUGAAAAACUGCUAUAAUCAAACUGCAAUAACUUUCUGAUCUGAUAUCCGAUUGAGGUGUUCUUCGCGGCCACGGAAAGAUAUACAAAUUAUCUACAACUCAUAGACAGAAGUUUUAUUUUUUUGAGGCCACUAAGAUCACGGAAAACUGGCAUGAACAGAAACUGUUGAAUCUGCCAUCCUGCAGAAACUAAUUUCGAGAUCAAAAUCUAAUCUCCCAUCUAAUCCAACCAAAAAAACUAAUUGCAGGGCCUAAAACUCAUCCAAAACAAGAGAAAGCAUUCAUCAAGUGGAGAAAAGAGAGAGAGGAAAGGAAAUCCAACCAAUUCUUGGAGAGGAACGACGAUGAUGAGCGACGGUAUGCCCUCAUCUCCCCUCUCUUCUCUUCUUUUUUCUUCCUCUCAUCUCUUGGGGCAAGGCACAAAAGGGUGACGGCUGCUAGG